This 465-nucleotide ribosomal RNA is filed under the name uncultured bacterium. RNAcentral's name for it is "partial 16S ribosomal RNA". It matches the Rfam family "Bacterial small subunit ribosomal RNA", at positions 338 to 795 of the family's 1533-position model. The record is from RNAcentral.
CCUACGGGUGGCAGCAGUAGGGAAUCUUCCACAAUGGACGAAAGUCUGAUGGAGCAACGCCGCGUGAGUGCAGAAGGGUUUCGGCUCGUAACGCUCUGUUGGUAGUGAAGAAAGAUAGAGGUAGUAACUGGCCUUUAUUUGACGGUACUUACUUAGAAAGUCACAGCUAACUACGUGCCAGCAGCCGCGGUAAUACGUAGGUGGCAAGCUUGGUCCGUAUUUAUUGGGCGUAACGCGAGUGCCGGCGGGUCAAUAAGUCUGAUGUGAAAGCCUUCGGCUAAACCGGAGAAGUGCAUCAGAAACUGUUGAACUUGAGUGCAGAAGAGGAGAGUGGAACUCCAUGUGUAGCGGUGGAAUGCGUAGAUAUAUGGAAGAACACCAGUGGCGAAGGCGGCUCUCUGGUCUGCAACUGACGCUGAGGCUCGAAAGCAUGGGUAGCGAACAGGAUUAGAUACCCCGGUAGUC